UACAGAGGUCCCAAGCGUUGUUCGGAUUCAUUGGGCGUAAAGGGUGCGUAGGCGGCGCGGUAAGUCGGGUGUGAAAUCUCGGGGCUUAACUCCGAAACUGCAUUCGAUACUGCCGUGCUUGAGGACUGGAGAGGAGACUGGAAUUUACGGUGUAGCGGUGAAAUGCGUAGAUAUCGAGAGGAACAUCUGUGGCGAAGGCGGCCGACUGGACGAUGACUGACGCUGAGACGCGAAAGCGUGGGGAGCAAACAGG
RNAcentral lists this ribosomal RNA (253 nucleotides) under uncultured bacterium. RNAcentral's name for it is "partial 16S ribosomal RNA". It matches the Rfam family "Bacterial small subunit ribosomal RNA", at positions 524 to 776 of the family's 1533-position model. The record is from RNAcentral.